RNAcentral lists this long non-coding RNA (298 nucleotides) under Homo sapiens (human). RNAcentral's name for it is "non-protein coding lnc-UGT8-2:1". The record is from RNAcentral. Lineage: Eukaryota; Metazoa; Chordata; Mammalia; Primates; Hominidae.
UGAGGCAUGGCCUAUCUCUUCCUUUCUAUCAUAGCCUGAUGUAGUUUUUCAGGUUCCUUUGGGUCCCCUUGGCUGAGAGUGGAGUCCAUUCGGUCAGCUGGGGGAAUUUAGACUUUUACUUUUGGUUUACAGGUGAAUAACAACAUCAAGAAGAAAAUGGAAGCUAUCAGAAAAGCCUCUACCAUCCCCACCACAUCUACCUGUCUACCUGUGUGUGUUCCUAAACUCCAGCUUCUCUCAUGAAAGAACUCUCCAUGCAUCUGGCUUAAGGUCAUCCCAUCCCUGAUCUCCACUUAAG